RNAcentral lists this long non-coding RNA (1335 nucleotides) under Betta splendens (Siamese fighting fish). RNAcentral's name for it is "lncRNA (ENSBSLG00000016376.1)". Lineage: Eukaryota; Metazoa; Chordata; Actinopteri; Anabantiformes; Osphronemidae. The record is from RNAcentral.
AUGCCCCUAAAAAUCCUUAUUGCUCUUGCAAUGGUCAACAAAUCUCCUGUUGCAACAUGUAGGGGAUGUCUGAAGGGUGCAGGAAUUCACGUCUGCUGCAGCGCAGGCCCAGAGCACAAGCCAUUGUUUAUGUAUGGGUUACAUAGGUUACGCGGAGAAUUUCAACCUCUGUUCGACACAGACACGCUCCAGAGCCGAGCUGCUGGAGUCGAACGGCGGCCUCCGAUAAAAAAGUUUCACAACGUUUGCCGAUGCAGAUUAGCAGCGGGUUGGAAACGCGAGCGGCUUUAUCUGGGGAUCCGGGAGAUGCUUUUCACGCUAACGGCACCGGCGUGUUCGCCUGCCAGCCACGCCGUCAUUAGCUUUCUGGUGGGUUCUGCAUGCAGACGGCGGAGGACGUGCCGCGUCCUUCGCUGUUUUGACUUUGCAUCGGGAUGCAAGGGGACAGACGGAGAGACGGGCUGGCUGGUGGCCGUGCAGGUCCAGAAAAAAUCCUGGGAGCAGUGCAUCGAGUGCAUCGAGUGGUGGGGAAAGGGGAGGCUUAAAGGCAGGUUGACGAAGACCACGAGGGGAAAACGGCGGAGGUGGAGAGCACGAGGUGAGGAAGGGAACAGCAGGCCACGGAGGACUGGGAGCCAGGCCUGGGUGUGGCGCCGUGGGCCGUCACGGCGGUGUGGAGUGGAGCGCUCCGUGUCGGCGCAUGAGUCACCGGAGGGAGGCUUUUCUGCCGAGGAUCCCCGCGGGAUGGAGAAAGGAAGGAAGAGAAGGAGGGAGGGAAGGACGAAAGGAAGCGAGGAAGGAAAAAUCCCCCUCGCCCCGGAGCGAAGGAGCAAGAGAAUGAAGCGCGCGCGAGGGGAGCGAGGGAAAGUGUGGACGAUGACUCAGGGCCACGAACCACAUGGCGAUGGAGGAGGGAGGGAGGAAUUACUCAUCAGAGCAUGUGGAGUCUCAUAUGGCUAUCACAGGACCGGCAGUGUGCUUCCCUCAUGGCUGCGACUCAGCCGCCACGCAACCGCCGCCGCUCCCUCGGGCCGAAAGACAGCGGCCAUGUUGUACCGGAGAGCAGAGAAUGGGGCGAGGGGGGGUGGGGGGUGUCAGGGUGAGCUGGGGGUCAAAUUCACACCCAAAGGUUCUUUUUUAAAUGCCUUCAUCAAGCAGAGGUGCCUGAGGACGUCUAUUAGAGUCAGAGUCAGGUUUUCCCCUUUCAGCCUGUGUGCGACUGAUAGUGUCAUUCUGGGUCUGAGAGACCAGAGCCGGAGUCGGGCUCGACCCAGUGCAGGGCCCGAAUCAGCACCGGGUUGUGUGAGGCCCGAUGGGCUCAGCUUCAGGCCGUAA